RNAcentral lists this ribosomal RNA (654 nucleotides) under uncultured bacterium. RNAcentral's name for it is "bacterial SSU rRNA". The stretch from base 1 to 540 matches the Rfam family "Bacterial small subunit ribosomal RNA", at positions 338 to 873 of the family's 1533-position model. The record is from RNAcentral.
CCUACGGGAGGCAGCAGUAAGGAAUAUUGGUCAAUGGAGGCAACUCUGAACCAGCCAUGCCGCGUGCAGGAUGACGGCCCUAUGGGUUGUAAACUGCUUUUGUACCAGAGAAAACCUACUCACGUGUGAGUAGCUGAUAGUAUGGUAAGAAUAAGCAUCGGCUAACUUCGUGCCAGCAGCCGCGGUAAGACGAAGGAUGCAAGCGUUAUCCGGAUUCAUUGGGUUUAAAGGGUGCGUAGGCGGACUUGUAAGUCAGUGGUGAAAUCUCUUCGCUUAACGAAGAAACUGCCAUUGAUACUGCAGGUCUAGAGUAUAGAUGACGUUGGCGGAAUAUGACAUGUAGUGGUGAAAUACUUAGAUAUGUCAUAGAACACCGAUUGCGAAGGCAGCUAACGAAACUAUAACUGACGCUGAGGCACGAAAGUGCGGGGAUCAAACAGGAUUAGAUACCCUGGUAGUCCGCACCGUAAACGAUGAUUACUCGUUGUUGGCGAUAUGACAGUCAGCGACCGACGACGAACGACGAGUAAGUAACGUACCGUACCGUACGGGUACGGUACGGACCGGACCGACGGUACGUAAACGUUAAACGUUAAGUAAGUUAGUUACGGACGUUAGGAGGACGACGACGACGGACGACGACGAGGGAGGAGG